Molecule: long non-coding RNA, 9721 nt
Filed under: Phaseolus vulgaris (common bean)
Lineage: Eukaryota; Viridiplantae; Streptophyta; Magnoliopsida; Fabales; Fabaceae
Description: long non-coding RNA (PVUL_LNC003449)
Source: RNAcentral
UCUUCAUUCUUGAUGUGAUUUUGAAAACGUGUGAGCUGAGUUUGGUGCGAAGGUGAGAAACAUAAGUUUGACGAAGAAUUUGUUCGGUGUGAAAUCUAAUUGAAGCGGUGUGGUGUUGGAGGAAUCACGAACAGAGGUGUUAUAUUCUAAAGUUUUAGGAUUUAAUUAGUAGUUUUUAUUAUUUAUCAUUUAUCUUUAGUUGGGAUUUAAUUAGUUAGGAUUUAAAUCUUUAGUUUCGAUUUAAUUAGUUAGGAUUUAAUUAGUACUUUUAUCAUUUAUCAUUUAUCUUUAGUUGGGAUUUAAUUAGUUAGGAUUUUAUCAUUUAUCUUUCUAGCAUUUAUCUUUAUCAUUUGUAAUCUUUAGUACUCUAUAAAUAGAGUAUUGAACUAUCAUUUGAGAUAUCAAUAAUAUAUGCACUUUGUUUCCGUUUCUCAAUUCUCUAUCAUUGUUCUUGUUCUUGGUAUAAUCGGAAGUCACCUAAAGGUUCCCUUUGUCCAAAGCCUAAUCGUUCUUUGAAAUCUCUUACGAGAGGACUUAGACGCUUCUACACACGAUCGUUCAUAUCAAUUGGUAUCAGCUAGGACCUUCCAGUACUUCAAUGGCAGAAUCAACACGCUCCGCUCAAGCUACUAAGGAGAUGGAAGAUCGAAUCUCCCAAAGGAUGGAUAAUCGGUUUAUGGAACUCGCGACUACGUUGAAGGAAACUUUGACUCUUUCUAUGAAAGACACCAUCCAGGAUUUACUUACUCAAUCUCAAGGUGAACGCUCCCCUCGGCCCUCACCUGAGACAAUGUCGCGCGGACCUCGAACGGGGUCUUCUUAUGUUUGUGGCACGCGGUUGGCACGGAUCGACUUUCCCCGAUUCAAUGGCAAAAAUGUUAAUCAGUGGAUUUAUCAAUGCGAAAAUUAUUUUCUCAUUGACAAGACUCCAGAGGAAUUCAAGGUACAGCUGGCACUUGUGCAUCUAGAAGGCAAGGCCUUGCAAUGGCAUACCGCACUUAAGAACUCUGAUUUAGAUAUGGAUGCACCUUCAUGGCCUGGAUUCACCAAAAGUCUAAAAGAUCGGUUUGGUGCAAUUGGCGAUGAUCCCAUGGUUGCGUUAAUGCGUCUGCGACAAAAGACGUCCGUUGAUGCCUAUCAUGAAGAGUUUGAUUCCAUCAUUACAAGAUUAAAGUUAGCUAAUGAUCAUGUUCUCAGUUGCUUCCUUGGUGGCUUAAAGCAAGACAUCCAAAUGAUGGUACGCAUGUUCCAACCUACAACAUGCAUUUACUUUGGCCAGGACGUAUGAAGCAGCCAAUUCUAGCAAGUCGACGACCAAAUUCCACAGGGGAGUCUUAGGUCCAGCUCCAGUGCCUCUAUCAUCGUCAUCUCCAAUCACUGCGGUUCCCAAACCUAAACCCACACACCACCUAACGCCGGAAUUCAUAGCAGAAUGCAGAGCCCAAGGCCUUUGUUAUUUUUGUGAUGAACCCUACUCAAUGGAGCACAGUAGAGUACACAAGAAAUUACAGCUUCACGUCAUGGAGAUGGAGGAAGAAGAUGACACACAGGAUAGUCCUCCCAGUGACGAUACUGACUUAUUGCAAUGGAAGGAACCACAAAUCUCAGUCAACGCAUUAACAGGAGUGGCUGGGUUCAAGACUAUGAGAAUCACUAGAUAUCAUCAAAAACAACCUUUACAUAUUCUCAUUGAUAGUGGCAGCACUCAUAAUUUCUUAGAUACCCAAAUGGCUCAAAAAUAUGGGUGUGUAAUUGAGACAAUUGCCCCUUUGAAUGUCGUGGUAGCAGAUGGGUCAAAGAUCAAGAUAUCUUCCGUGGUCAAAAAAUUUAGUUGGACAAUUCAACACACAACUUUUACUGCUGAUAUGCUACUCCUUUCUUUGGGGUGUUGCGAUUUAGUGCUGGGAAUUGAGUGGCUCAUAACAUUGGCCGAUAUUUUAUGGAAUUUCGACAAACUCACUAUGGAAUUCAAGGUACAAGGAAGGCGACAUGUUCUACGUGGCUCUAUGGCCCCCAAGCUUAAACCUGCACACAAGCAACAGUUGAGCAAAGCUUUUAUUGACGGUGUACAUUUGUCUAUGAUACACGUGGGUGCAGAGGAGGACAUGUUGUUGCAGUCCUUGACUACACAUGCUGCAGAACAGGAGAUUCCAACUGAGAUCGCGAAUCUCUUACAAGAAUUUGCAGAUAUCUUUCAAGAACCACAACAAUUACCACUCUUUCGACCAGGCCAUGAUCAUCAUAUUCCAUUGAUUCAGGGAGUUAAUCCAGUCAACAAACAGCCUUACAGGUAUGCCACAACCCAAAAGGACAUUAUUGACCAACUUAUACAUGAAUAUUUGCAAUCCGGAAUUAUACAGGAAAGUUGCAGCCCUUACGCCAGCCCCGUGCUUCUUGUAAGCAAAAAAGAUGGUUCAUGGAGACUUUGUGUUGAUUAUAGGGAUCUGAAUAAGGGCACAGUCAAGAACAAAUUUCCUAUUCCUUUAGUUGAUGAUCUACUGGAUGAAUUAGCAGGAUCUACUGUUUUUUCGAAAAUUGAUUUACGUGCAGCUAUAAUCAAGUUCGAAUGAAUCCCGACGAUGUGUGGAAGACAGCUUUUCGAACACACUCGGGACAUUAUGAGUACCUGGUGAUGCCAUUUGGACUCACCAACGCUCCGGCUACAUUCCAAGGAUUAAUGAACUCCAUUUUUCAGAGGUUUUUAAGGAAAUUUUUGUUGGUGUUUUUUGAUGAUAUUCUAGUCUACAACAAAAACAUAACGGAGCACAUACAACAUCUCAAAGAAGUAUUGCAGACUCUCCGUAUCCAUUCUCUUUUUGCCAAGAGAUCUAAAUGCUAUUUUGCUGUUUCCGAAGUGGAGUACUUAGGCCAUAUUAUUAAUGCACAUGGCGUUUCCGCGGACUCCAACAAAGUUGCUGCUAUGGUAAGCUGGCCUCUACCACGAACCCUAAAACAAUUACGAGGGUUUUUGGGCUUAGCUGGGUAUUAUAGAAGAUUUGUCCGCGGCUAUGGCAUCAUUGCUAAACCCUUAACUGAUAUGCUUAAGAAGGACAAUUUCCUUUGGUGUGAGAGGGCUGAACAAGCUUUUCACGACCUUAAGAAGAUGAUGAGCAGUACUCUCGUUUUAGCACUACCUGAUUUCACAAAAGUCUUUGUUGUGGAGGUAGAUGCUUCUGGGCAAGGCGUGGGAGCAGUUUUGAUGCAAGACCACCAUCCCAUAGCUUUUAUUAGUAGAAUUUUUAAUCUUCAACAAGAAGCUUAUUCAACAUACGAAAAGGAAUUGGUGGGAGUAGUCUUUGUUGUGCAAAAAUGGUGACAUUACCUGUUGAAUCGUCAUUUUACUAUCAAGACGGAUCAUUACAGCCUUAAAUACAUCUUAAAUCAAAGAUGGUCCACUGAGUUUCAACAAAAAUGGCUAGUCCAGCUGAUGGAAUUUGAUUUCACCAUAGAAUAUCGCCAAGGAAAAGAAAAUGUUGUCGCUGAUGCAUUAUCUAGAAGGGACAUAGUGGAAUGCAAAGGUUUAAUUACCUUACAACUACAGUCUGAGUUACUACAGGAUAUACAACAAUCAUGGAUUACAGAUAUUCACUUACAGAAACUCAUAACAGAGUUAAAGGCGAAUACAAGUUCCCAUAAACAUUAUACAUGGGAAAACAAUGAACUUAGAAGAAAAGGCAGGCUGGUUGUAGGGAUAGAUGGGUUAUUGAGAAAGAAGAUUUUGCAGUGGCUACAUGCCUCAGCAGAGGGCGGUCAUUCGGGUAUGAAUGCAACAGUGAAAAGGGUCAAGGCAGUGGUUUAUUGGAAAGGAUUAAAUAAAGAUAUCAAACAUUUUAUCCAACGGUGUUCUGUGUGUCAGCAAAAUAAAUAUGACAGCGCUGCUACUCCAGGCCUUCUACAACCUCUACCCAUUCCACAGACCAUUUGGCUGCACAUCACCAUGGAUUUCAUUGAAGGGUUACCACAUUCAGAAGGUAAACAAGUCAUUUUUGUGGUAGUAGACAGGUUGAGCAAAGCUGCCCAUUUUAUGGCCCUAACUCACCCAUAUACGGCAAGAAGUGUUGCUCAAGCAUUUUUGGACAAUGUGUUCAAGUUACAUGGAUGUCCAGAAACCAUUACCAGUGAUAGAGAUCCGAUUUUUGUGAGCCAAUUUUGGAAAGAGUUUAUGGCAGUACAAGGAGUGCAAGUUCAACUGUCCACAAGUUAUCAUCCCCAAACAGAUGGCCAGACAGAGGUGGUGAAUAGAUGCUUAGAAACUUAUUUGAGAUGUAUGUGUGUUGACUCACCACACAAAUGGGUGCAAUGGCUUCCUCUUGCAGAAUGGUGGUAUAAUACCACAUUCCAUACAACCAUCAAAGCCACCCCUUAUGAAAUUGUGUAUGGUCAACCACCUCCUAUCCAUUUACCAUACUUAUCGGGGAAUCCAGCAUUGAAUUGGUAGAUAAAAGCCUUCUCAAGAGAGAAUAAAUGUUGAAAGUGAUAAAAUUUCAUUUAAAACGAGCACAAGAGAGAAUGAAGCAACUAGCAGAUAGACACAGAUCCGAGAGGGGUUUUGAGAUUGGUGACUUAGUUUACGUUAAGUUGCAAGCUUACAGGCAGGUAUCCGUAAACUUCAAACCAAAUGCUAAGUUGAGCCCAAAGUAUUUUGGGCCCUACAAAGUUUUGGAUAAGGUGGGGGAGGUAGCUUAUAAGCUAGAACUUCCAGUGCAUUCUAAGAUUCACAAUGUCUUCCAUGUAUCACAACUAAGGAAACAUGUGGGAGACAUGGUGGUUUCCACUACGCUACCUUAUCAAUCUGAAGACCCACUACAACUGAAAGAGCCUGAAGCUGUCAUUGACCGCAUGACAGUUAAGCGAAGAGGAAGGGCAGUCACAAAGGUUUUAGUGAAAUGGAAGCACCAACUUCCUGAGGAUGCAACUUGGGAGUUCUACUUUGAUUUGAAGAAGUACCCAUUGUUCCAUUCUUGAGGGCAAGAAUGUUGUUAUGGGGAGGGCAUUGUUAUAUUAUAAAGUUUUAGGAUUUAAUUAGUAGUUUCUAUUAUUUAUCAUUUAUCUUUAGUUGGGAUUUAAUUAGUUAGGAUUUUAUCAUUUAUCUUUCUAGCAUUUAUCUUUAGUACUCUAUAAAUAGAGUAUUGAACUAUCAUUUGAGAUAUCAAUAAUAUAUGCACUUUGUCCUUGUUCUUGUUCUUGGUAUAAUCGGAAGCCACCUAAAGGUUCCCUUUGUCCAAAGUCUAAUCGUUCUUCGAAAUCUCUUACAAGAGUACCUACACGCUUCUACACACGAUCGUUCAUAUCAGGAGGUGUUUUGCGGUUUUUGGCAAACGAAAUUGGUGUAAGGAGGUUUUGCGGCUUCCGGCGAACAUAAUCAGUGGACAGAGGUUUUUUGCGGUUUCCAGUGACCUAAAUCAGCGAGGAGUUGUGUUUUCCAGCGACCUAAAUCGUUGAAACUGUGAGUUUCCGGUGCGUUUUCAUCUACAUUCUUCAUUCUCUGGAACGAUUUUUAAAUCAAGUGAUUGGAGAACACUGAAUGAGAUAUUGCGGUAAGGAGAUUUGAACCGCCGAAAUCAGAAUUUGCUUUAGAUUUGGUGCGUUGCUGGAAGAAUCAGUAACAGAGGAGUUUCAAUUUUCCGGCGAAACCGGUUAACGGAGAAGACGAUCGAUUUGAAGCGAUUUGCUGGAGAAUUUGAGAUUCAGCGAGCACGAACCAAAAAGGAAUUGUAGUGUUUCGUAUGAAUUGAUUCAUUGCAGCCAAGGUGUUUGUUCAAUAAGCAUGAAUUAGAAUUGUGUGAGCUGAAGGUGUAGCGAAGUCCAGUGGCAUUCAGUUUCUGUGAAUUGAAGAGGUGCGUUCAAUUACAUUUACGUGCAAUUUUAAUUACAAUUGUUCUGUUCUGUUAAUCUUCGAAAUAAGAGAAGUUGAGUAGUGGAGUGGUUGAUCUGAGACGGUGUAAUUUUGAUUCAGUGUAGUUUNNNNNNNNNNNNNNNNNNNNNNNNNNNNNNNNNNNNNNNNNNNNNNNNNNNNNNNNNNNNNNNNNNNNNNNNNNNNNNNNNNNNNNNNNNNNNNNNNNNNUGUUGAGUAGUUGGAAUAGGCAUUCCAUCAAACACUUGGUGUUCUAUACUGAAUUGAAGGAUUUCCUGUGGUGAUUCAAUUGGACCAACAACUAAUUCAACAUAAACAAGUUAUUGGCAAUUGAUUUAACAGUGUAGUAAUUGUUUUGAUGUAGAUUUGGGUGCAGAAGUUUUAUGGUUUGGCUAUUUUGGUACAAAAUCCUGCACAUAAUUGGUGUAUAUUGUUGAAUAGUUCGCAGCUGCACAAUUUUAAUCUUUUGAUUAGUGUAAUUUGGUGGUAUAAUUUUGUGCAUUGAAACUGUUUAUGAAUUGAUCACGAUGUUGUGAUGUAGUAUGAUGACUUGAAUUGUCUGCAUCAUUUGGUUCAUAAUUGGUGUUCACGAUGCAAUGCUUAAUUGAGUAAAAUUCCGGUGCAUAAUUGGUUGGUGUAUUGAUCCAAAGAUUUAAUUAAAAUUGCCUCAUUGAAUGCAAGAAAAGUGAGAUAGAGAAAGCAAAGUGCGUAAACUAAAUUGGUUCAAUUUUGUUGAAGCAAGAAUUUUACUGGUGCAAGUCUUGAUGCAGAAUUUUCCGGUUUAGCUUGUGAAAUUGGCAAAGUGAAGCUGUUGGUGAAUUUUGAAAUUGUAAUUGACAAGCGUAGGUCUUCAUACUAGCUGUUCUGAUUCAGAUUUGAUUGCUUGAAAUUGUUGAUCAUUUUGGUGCAGAUUUUAAUUAAAUAAAAAAAAGUAUGUCUGCAUUUGAAUUCAAUUUGUGAAUUACAAAUUGAUUGAAGCUGAUGCAGUGAAUUGUGGGGUCCGUAAAUUUGAAGAAUUUGAUGAGAAAUGGUGUGCCGAAGGUGCAGCGUGAAUCAAGUACUACCAAGGUGUGCAAUUAAUUGAAGAAAUUAAAGUAGAAUCAGUGAAAGCAAAUUGGAAAUUGUUGAAUUGGUGAAAGCGUGAUUGUGGGUGCUUUUAACUAACCAAAAAUUACUUAUGUGUUGAGUAAUUAGAAGUGUGUAUUGGCAGCUACUGGAACUUGCAAUCACACGGUGGGACCCAUGCUUUAAAGUUAAAUGCAAUUUGUUGAAUAAUGAGGGAGAGUAAAUGUUGGUGAGAAAUUUGGCAAUUGGAGUUCCUUAGCGCGGGACCCGCGAGAAUUGAGUUCUUUGAACCAAGCUACAUUGGGCAACAACAUUUUGGAUUUCAUAGUCUACUAAUAAUUUUCAUCAUUCUUUGUUUUAAUUUUGUAAUCCAUUCUAGUGUCUAUCUUUAGGUGUUUUCUUUUGAGUGCCUAUUUUUUUGAAAACCUUUAAUUUUUUUGCUUGUCUUGAUUUUAUGGAUAAUUUUUGUGUUUGUCAUCUCUAAUCUCCUUUGAGUUUCACUCUUCAAAUUGAGUUUUUAUUGCUUUUAUUAUUGACCUCUUGAAGUGGAAUAUACCUUGAAUUUGUUCUUUGUGAGAAUUGAGCUAACUUCUAGGUAGCAUCCUAAGAGAAGGCAAAGGACUUUGCAAGGGGUACUCACCUUUGGAGGACAAACAAGUAAAGGCUUAGAGAGAAACACUUGUGAGAGAAGAGAAGAAAACUUUGAAGAUUAUUUUUUUUUUUAAAUUUUGUGUGAUUUCAAUUGUUUUGUAAUUUGGCCAUUAUCAUUACUUUAGGUGUCUUGGAAGAGUCUUUGGUGUUCUUCCAUCUCCUACAAGUUUUCUUUAAUUUUCUUAUUAGAUACACGCUUUAGACGGUGAGUGUGUCUUGAAGGUUCACAAGUGCCAACAAGCCUCACCAUUAGGAGUCGUCUAGUUUAAAUUUUUGCAAUUUAAAUUCUUAGUUUUUAAAAACUUUCUUUUAGUUUCUUUCUUUAGAAUACUCUUUGUUUGUGUUGAAGAAGUUUUCAUUGGAAGGAGAUUUGUGAAGUACAUUGGGAUAAGUUCUGGCUAGGAAAGACUUGGUACUUAAGAGUGUCCAUUGUGAUCCACCUCUCUUUCCUGGGAAUUUACCUUGUGUGCUAAACUCACUUUCCUUCUUGUGAAAAAUCUUUUAAAUACAAAGCUUAAUAUGUCUAUGUAUACNNNNNNNNNNNNNNNNNNNNNNNNNNNNNNNNNNNNNNNNNNNNNNNNNNNNNNNNNNNNNNNNNNNNNNNNNNNNNNNNNNNNNNNNNNNNNNNNNNNNNNNNNNNNNNNNNACUUUGAUGGAAAUAAAAAUGUUGAAGCAUAUUUAGAAUGGGAAACAAAAUUUGAUCAAAUCUUUGAAAAAACAUCAAUUGGAUGAAUUUAGCAGAUUUUCCAUGGCUACCCUAAGUUUUCAAGAAUAUGCUAGGUCUUGGUGGACAAAAAGGGAAACUGAUGUUAUAAAUGGCAGAAAAUCUGAAGUACUUAAUUGGGAUGAAUUGAAGACGUGUAUGAGAAGAAAGUUUGUUCCACCUUCAUAUGUGAAAAAGAAAAAGCUUAGAGAAGAGAAUGAAAGAGCUUGUAGAAAAAGGAAGAAAUNNNNNNNNNNNNNNNNNNNNNNNNNNNNNNNNNNNNNNNNNNNNNNNNNNNNNNNNNNNNNNNNNNNNNNNNNNNNNNNNNNNNNNNNNNNNNNNNNNNNAGAAGAGAAAAGGAGUUUAGAGAAAAAUUCCAAACUCUUGUCAGAAAGAAGGAAGAGAAGGAGGAAAAGGAAAGUACAAAAAACUCUUUUUCUGGAGUUGAAUCAGAUAUCGAUAACAUUUUAUCUUCUCUAGAAAACCCUUGUGAGAAUAUGCUUGAAGAAAAAUCUAUGUUUGGAGCUGAACCAGAUAUAGAUAUAAAUAUUUCCUCCACACAAAAUACAGAAGAAUGUUUGAUUGAAAAGGAAGAAGAGGAAACCCACAAAGAAGAAGAACCUUUUAUGACACUCCCUCAAAGCAUGGCUGAGAAAGAAUCCUUAAAGGGGGAUUACAAUACUUUGAACUCUUCUUUUCAAUUAUAUAAUGCUCAUUCUUCUUUACAAAAAUCUCAAAAACCAAACUUUGUGAUGUUGUUGCCUAGCUUGGGCAAUAAACAACACAAAGUGAACAAAAAUAUUUUUGAAAGGGGCCUUAUGUUUUUCUUUAAAAAGAAAUUUAAAGAUAAAGGGCCUUAUUUUUGUUUAGUUUUCUUUUGUUUUAAUUUUCUUUUAAAAAAGAAUUUAUCUCAUGUUUGUUUGAUGUUGUUUAUUAUAGAUUGACAUUUGACCCAGGAGGAAAACAUCAAAUAAACAGAGGCUGCUGUCAUUGAGCAUCAUUCAGAUCUGAGGAUAGAUCCUUUUCAAGAGGGAGGGGAUGAUGGAAACCGUCUAGCCUCAAAACUUUCGGCCAAGAAGAUAGACGAAGAUCGAGUUUUAAUGAAGAGUUUGUAAAGUCUUUUUCUUCUUCUUAGCCUUGUAAAAAUUGUAUAGAGUAGUUAGGAAGUUUUGGGCCUUGUAUUUUGGGACAAAGUAGAGAAAGAUGUAAAUAGAAAACAAAGUAAUGUGUAAAAUAGUAAAAGAGGGGUACAAAUAGAAAUGUAGGCAAGGAAGGCAUAAGUCUCCACAUGUCUUCUCUUUAAUGGAGAGGAUUGGCACCAAUAAGGUGGUGACACUUGUCACACUCUCAUUUGAGAGUUUUUGAGAGACUUUAUCCUAUAAAUAGGAGUCUCUUAUACAUGUAUUUCUUUAACUUGGAAUUAGUAAUGAAAUGCUGCCUAGUUUUGG